GAGAGCUUUGUCAUUGUGCAUUUAUACUUUUUUUCCCCUUUAUGCCUGCUGCACCAAACUUGGCUACUCCUUUUAGUACACAUCAUAGAAAAAUACAAUUAAAAUAGAAAUUCAUACUGUGUUUUCUUUCUGAAGCUCUCGCUGGCCCAUACAGCAGUGCUGCAAAAUUUCAGCGUUCAGAAAAGAAUCGAGGAAAUACUGUAAAGAGAUGGAGUUUGACAACGACCACUGUAUUAAGAUGAAUGAUGGGAACAAAAUUCCUGCAGUGGGAUUUGGUACCUAUUCCCCUGAUGCAGUUCAAAAAAGUAAGUGUGAGGAGGCUACAAAGGUGGCUAUUGAAGUUGGCUUCCGCCAUAUUGAUGGAGCCUUUGUAUAUGGGACUGAGGAGGAGGUUGGGCGAGCCAUUCACGAGAAGAUUGCAGAUGGAACAGUCAAAAGAGAGGACAUAUUUUACACAGGAAAGAAAGAAGAGAAAAAAGAGAACUUCUUCAGAAAGAACAGUUGUUUUUGAAUCAUUACAGCUUGGGAGUACCUUUCACCGUCCUGAACUUGUCCGAAACUGUCUGGAACAAUCGCUGAAGAAACUUAAGUUUGACUAUCUUGAUCUCUUCAUUAUCCAUAUCCCUGUGUCUCUAAAGCCUGGGCCAGAUUUAUCACCAAUGGAUGAAAAUGGAAAACUCAUUUUCGAUAUUGUAGAUCUGCGUCAAACUUGGGAGGCCAUGGAGGCAUGUAAAGAUGCAGGCUUGGUGAAGUCCAUUGGAGUGUCCAAUUUCAACCGCAGACAGCUGGAGAUGAUCCUGAACAAACCAGGGCUCAAGUACAAACCUGUUCUCAACCAGGUUGAAUGUCACCCUUACCUCAACCAAAGCAAACUGCUGGCCUUCUGCAAAUCCAAGGAUAUCCUCCUUGAAGCCUAUUGUGCUCUGGGCUCACAGAGAGACAAGAUGUGGAUAGACCAAAGCACCCCAGUUCUGCUGGAGGACCCAGUACUGGGUGCAAUUGCCAAAAAAUACAACCGAAGCCCCGCUCUAGUAGCCCUGCGCUACCAGCUGCAGCGUGGUAUCGUGGUCCUCUUUAAGAGCUUCACCAGAAAGCGUAUUGAAGAAAACUUCCAGGUUUUUGACUUCCAGCUCUCUGAGGAGGAUAUGAAAACCAUUGAUGGGCUGAACAAAAACCUUCGCUACCUGAACUUAAUACAGCUAUCAACACCACCCGCUUGCUGAACCCAACAACUAAAACCAGACUGAAGCAUUACAGCCCACAGGAGACCAGGACAGAAGACUUGUGGACCACCCUCAGUUUCCAUUUAAAGAUGAAUAAUGGAAAGGAUGCUUUCAAUGUUCCUGAUUUUAUUUCGUAUAUGAGGUAUCAGACACACAUUUCAUCUCCUUGCUCCAUUCCAGUGACUAGUCCCAGAGAAGCGCCCUGUUCUGGAAGUCCAGCUAGUGCUGGUGAUAUCAAGAGAUCUACACUGUACAUUAAACAGAAAUUCAAAACAACUCAGUCUCUGAAUGGAAUGGUUCUGGAUUGCUAAUGGGGGAAAAUAAAGGUGUCUGUGUAAUGCA
This is an RNA transcript of Malaclemys terrapin pileata, 1565 nucleotides long. It is a transcript of the gene named aldo-keto reductase family 1 member C3-like, with no coding region annotated. NCBI's taxonomy places the organism in Eukaryota, Metazoa, Chordata, Testudines, Emydidae. The record is from RefSeq and is a predicted model, not a curated record. The transcript is spliced from 10 exons.